Molecule: long non-coding RNA, 576 nt
Organism: Antechinus flavipes (yellow-footed antechinus)
Lineage: Eukaryota; Metazoa; Chordata; Mammalia; Dasyuromorphia; Dasyuridae
Exons: 2
Source: RefSeq, a predicted model, not a curated record
CCAACUUCCAACUUCCCAAGAAGUUGUGAUGAAGAAGGGGAGAAGUCUUUGAACUAAAGGAGAAAGGAAUGAGAAAGUGAUUUGGGAAGAGAUUAGGUUGGUGUCUAAGGGCCAGAGAGUGAAUAUUCCAAAGAGCAAUUAAAAAAAAGGGGUUAGAGAUAAAGAAGGAAAAUUACUUAACCUGAAAGAAAAUUACUCUGAAGACAAAAGAUUAGAGAAGAAAAGGACUCCAAAAUAUGAAGGGGAAUAUAUGGAGGCCAAAUCUCCUACUUGUUUUCCUGCUUGACAUUUGACAUUCUCAAUCUGGCAUCAGCUGAUUACAUAUUAUUCCUCCUGGUCUGGAAGGCAAAGCUUCUUAAACUGUAGGUUGCAACCCCACAUAACUGAAUGUGAGGGUAGGAAAAUUUGGUAAUGUAAAUGGUAUCAAAUAUUCCUCCAAGAGUUCAUUCUUUAUGUAAAAAUAAACAAGCACAUCCAUCUGGUUGUAUGCAAAUUAGCUUUGGCCUUUAAUGAUAAAAUUACAUGUGAUCAAAAAUGAUUUUUAAAUAAAUUUCCUUAUGAUUUAUUAUCAGUAAA